GACGAACGCUGGCGGCGUGCUUAACACAUGCAAGUCGUACGGAAAGGCCCUGCUUUUGUGGGGUGCUCGAGUGGCGAACGGGUGAGUAACACGUGAGUAACCUGCCCUUGACUUUGGGAUAACUUCAGGAAACUGGGGCUAAUACCGGAUAGGAGCUCCUGCUGCAUGGUGGGGGUUGGAAAGUUUCGGCGGUUGGGGAUGGACUCGCGGCUUAUCAGCUUGUUGGUGGGGUAGUGGCUUACCAAGGCUUUGACGGGUAGCCGGCCUGAGAGGGUGACCGGCCACAUUGGGACUGAGAUACGGCCCAGACUCCUACGUGAGGCAGCAGUGGGGAAUAUUGCACAAUGGGCGGAAGCCUGAUGCAGCAACGCCGCGUGCGGGAUGACGGCCUUCGGGUUGUAAACCGCUUUCGCCUGUGACGAAGCGUGAGUGACGGUAAUGGGUAAAGAAGCACCGGCUAACUACGUG
Molecule: ribosomal RNA, 468 nt
Filed under: uncultured bacterium
Lineage: Bacteria
Description: partial 16S ribosomal RNA
Rfam family: Bacterial small subunit ribosomal RNA
Source: RNAcentral